GACGGGUGGGCACUGGUGUGCCGCGCGGUCUCAUGAGCCGCUGGGGCAGGUUCGAUUCCUGCACCCGUCA
RNAcentral lists this transfer RNA (70 nucleotides) under Thermomonospora curvata. Its description in RNAcentral is "tRNA-Met". It matches the Rfam family "tRNA". Rfam says of the family: Transfer RNA (tRNA) molecules are approximately 80 nucleotides in length. Their secondary structure includes four short double-helical elements and three loops (D, anti-codon, and T loops). The record is from RNAcentral. Lineage: Bacteria; Bacillati; Actinomycetota; Actinomycetes; Streptosporangiales; Thermomonosporaceae. RNAcentral also lists the same sequence under 1 other name.